AGAGUUUGAUCCUGGCUCAGGACUAACGUUGGCGACGUGCCUAACACAUGCAAGUCGAGCGAUCUUUAUGAUAGCGGCGGACGGCUGAGUAACACGUCCGUAACCUACCUCCGAGUGGGGCAUAGCUCGUCGAAAGACGGGGUAAUACCCCAUAAUAUCCCUUCAUAAUUUGGAGGGAUCAAAGAUUUAUUGCUUGGAGAGGGGCGGGCGGCCUAUCAGCUUGUUGGUGAGGUAAAAGCUCACCAAGGCUUUGACGGGUAGCUGGUCUUAGCGGACGACCAGCCAGACCGGGACUGAGACACGGCCCGGACUCCUACGGGAGGCAGCAGUUGGGAAUUUUGCGCAAUGGACGAAAGUCUGACGCAGCAACGUCGCGUGCAGGAUGACGCACUUCGGUGUGUAAACUGCUUUUAUUUGGGAAUAAUUUUUGAAGGUACCAAACGAAUAAGCACCGGCUAAUCUCGUGCCAGCAGCCGCGGUAAUACGAGAGGUGCAAACGUUGUCCGGAAUUACUGGGCGUAAAGAGCACGUAGGCGGUUUGAUAAGUCAUCUAUUAAAGACCGGGGCUUAACCCCGGGAAAGUGGAUGAUACUGUCAUACUAGAAUCUGGCAGGGGCUAGUAGAACACUCGGUGGAGGGGUGACAUCCGUAGAUAUCGAGUGGAAUACCAAAGGCGAAGGCAGCUAGCUGGGCCAGUAUUGACGCUGAGGUGCGAAAGCGUAGGUAGCGAUCGGGAUUAGAUACCCCGGUAGUCUACGCCGUAAACGAUGCAUACUAGGCAUUGGAGAGUAUCGACCCUUUCUUGUGCCGAAGCUAACGCGUUAAGUAUGCCGCCUGGGGAGUACGAACGCAAGUUUAAAACUCAAAGGAAUUGGCGGGGAGACGCACAAGCGGUGGAGCGUGUGGUUUAAUUCGAUAAUAAGCGAAGAACCUUACCCAGACUUGACAUCUCUGGAAUUUUCUAGAAAUAGAGAAGUGCCCGCAAGGGAGCCAGAUGACAGGUGCUGCACGGCUGUCGUCAGCUCGUGCCGUGAGGUGUUCCGUUCAGUCGGCAAACGAGCGCAACCCUUGCCCUUAGUUGUAUCACCCUAAGGGGACUGCCGCGGUUAACGCGGAGGAAGGUGGGGACGACGUCAAGUCAGCGUGGCCCUUACGUCUGGGGCGACACACGCGCUACAAUGGGGUGUACAAUGGGUUGCUAACCCGCGAGGGGGAGCUAAUCCCACCAAAACGCCUCUUAGUCCGGAUUGCAGUCUGCAACUCGACUGCAUGAAGCUGGAAUCGCUAGUAAUGGCCGGUCAGCCAUACGGCCGUGAAUACGUUCUCGUCUCUUGCACACACCGCCCGUCACAUCACGAAAGCCGGGGGCGCCCGAAGGCUCUGUUUUUAAUAGGGACUACGGCGAAUUCGGUGAUCAGGAUGAAGUCGUAACAAGGUAACC
This 1441-nucleotide ribosomal RNA is filed under the name uncultured bacterium. Its description in RNAcentral is "bacterial SSU rRNA". It matches the Rfam family "Bacterial small subunit ribosomal RNA". The record is from RNAcentral.